AUGCGAUUUCCCCCCUCUGGCACUCUGAUCUGCAGCGGUGCUGCUUCUGCCGGUCGCCUGCACGGGGCUGCUGCUGCCGGUCAUCACGUGAGGAGCACGUCUCCUGUAGCCGCGGCUACCUGGCCACACAGCAGCGGCGACAGGAUGGUGGCGGCAAAGGGGCGACGAGCUCUAGCGCCCGCUCUAGGACUCCACACCGCCAAGGUGGCGAGCUCCUCCGUCCGCUCUAGGACUCCACCGCCAAGGGGGCACGCCCUUGCAUCCGGGAGGUGCUCGAGCUUGUCAAAGUGCCCGCCGUUCCGAUUAAGUUAUCGCGGCCUAGGUGAACCAUUAUGUUUUGCUGCAUUUGGCCCAUUGGCGACGUCAGCAUUCCACUUCUCAAACAGCUGCAGAAGCAUUUCAAGCGGGACUGCGCUCCUCCCUAUCACCAAAACAGUCAUAGCUUCAUCCAUCCUUGUUGGGUUGACAACUACCCUGAUACUCUUCUGCAACCACUUUCAUCAGGACUACCUACCUAGCAGCAGCAGCAGAGGCUGUGCGAGUUCGUUUGGUCGAGUCAGAAAUACCAGUUGCAGGUGGUCGAUGCAGCAGCAGCAGUAA
Molecule: ribosomal RNA, 600 nt
Filed under: Triticum aestivum (bread wheat)
Lineage: Eukaryota; Viridiplantae; Streptophyta; Magnoliopsida; Poales; Poaceae
Description: partial small subunit ribosomal RNA
Source: RNAcentral